AGCGAACGCUGGCGGCAGGCUUAACACAUGCAAGUCGAACGCCCCGCAAGGGGAGUGGCAGACGGGUGAGUAACGCGUGGGAAUCUACCCAUCCCUACGGAAUAACGCAUGGAAACGUGUGCUAAUACCGUAUACGCCCUACGGGGGAAAGAUUUAUCGGGGAUGGAUGAGCCCGCGUUGGAUUAGCUAGUUGGUGGGGUAAAGGCCUACCAAGGCGACGAUCCAUAGCUGGUCUGAGAGGAUGAUCAGCCACAUUGGGACUGAGACACGGCCCAAACUCCUACGGGAGGCAGCAGUGGGGAAUAUUGGACAAUGGGCGCAAGCCUGAUCCAGCCAUGCCGCGUGAGUGAUGAAGGCCUUAGGGUUGUAAAGCUCUUUCACCGGAGAAGAUAAUGACGGUAUCCGGAGAAGAAGCCCCGGCUAACUUCGUG
RNAcentral lists this ribosomal RNA (431 nucleotides) under uncultured bacterium. RNAcentral's name for it is "partial 16S ribosomal RNA". It matches the Rfam family "Bacterial small subunit ribosomal RNA", at positions 29 to 507 of the family's 1533-position model. The record is from RNAcentral.